CCUACGGGGGGCAGCAGUGGGGAAUCUUGCGCAAUGGGCGAAAGCCUGACGCAGCGACGCCGCGUGAGUGAUGAAGGCCUUCGGGUUGUAAAGCUCUGUGGGGAGAGAAGAAUAAGUCGUAGUGAAUAUCUACGAUGAUGACGGUAUCUCCUUAGCAAGCACCGGCUAACUCUGUGCCAGCAGCCGCGGUAAGACAGAGGGUGCAAACGUUGUUCGGAAUUACUGGGCGUAAAGCGUGUGUAGGCGGUGAGGUAAGUCAGGUGUGAAAUCCCACGGCUCAACCAUGGAAGUGCACUUGAUACUGCUUCGCUUGAGUACUGGAGAGGUUGGUGGAAUUCUUGGUGUAGAGGUGAAAUUCGUAGAUAUCAAGAGGAACACCGGUGGCGAAGGCGGCCAACUGGACAGAUACUGACGCUGAGACACGAAAGCGUGGGGAGCAAACAGGAUUAGAUACCCCAGUAGUC
RNAcentral lists this ribosomal RNA (464 nucleotides) under uncultured Myxococcales bacterium. Its description in RNAcentral is "bacterial SSU rRNA". It matches the Rfam family "Bacterial small subunit ribosomal RNA", at positions 338 to 795 of the family's 1533-position model. The record is from RNAcentral. Lineage: Bacteria; Pseudomonadati; Myxococcota; Myxococcia; Myxococcales.